UCGAGGGGUAUAAGGAGCUUGCUCCUUAGAGACCGGCGCACGGGUGCGUAACGCGUAUGCAAUCUACCUUUCACAGAGGGAUAGCCCAGAGAAAUUUGGAUUAAUACCUCAUAGUAUAUAUGGAUGGCAUCAUUUGUAUAUUAAAGUCACAACGGUGAAAGAUGAGCAUGCGUCCCAUUAGCUAGUUGGUAAGGUAACGGCUUACCAAGGCGACGAUGGGUAGGGGUCCUGAGAGGGAGAUCCCCCACACUGGUACUGAGACACGGACCAGACUCCUACGGGAGGCAGCAGUGAGGAAUAUUGGUCAAUGGGCGCAAGCCUGAACCAGCCAUGCCGCGUGCAGGAUGAAGCAUCUAUGGUGUGUAAACUGCUUUUGUACGGGAAGAAACAGAGGUUCGUGAACCUCCUUGACGGUACCGUAAGAAUAAGGAUCGGCUAACUCCGUGCCAGCAGCCGCGGUAAUACGGAGGAUCCAAGCGUUAUCCGGAAUCAUUGGGUUUAAAGGGUCCGUAGGCGGUUUGGUAAGUCAGUGGUGAAAGCCCAUCGCUCAACGGUGGAACGGCCAUUGAUACUGCCAGACUUGAAUUACUAGGAAGUAACUAGAAUAUGUAGUGUAGCGGUGAAAUGCUUAGAUAUUACAUGGAAUAC
Molecule: ribosomal RNA, 648 nt
Filed under: uncultured Bacteroidota bacterium
Lineage: Bacteria; Pseudomonadati; Bacteroidota
Description: bacterial SSU rRNA
Rfam family: Bacterial small subunit ribosomal RNA
Source: RNAcentral